This is a long non-coding RNA of Erigeron canadensis, 1176 nucleotides long. RefSeq lists it as uncharacterized. The transcript is spliced from 2 exons. The record is from RefSeq and is a predicted model, not a curated record. Lineage: Eukaryota; Viridiplantae; Streptophyta; Magnoliopsida; Asterales; Asteraceae.
AUUUUGCUUUAGCUUUUGACUUUCUCCUCUUUUAGUGAUUUUGGUAUAUCAAUUGCUUUGAAAACCCCUGCUAGAAAUAUCUAUGUAGUCACUUGAAUUUUUUUGCAACAAAUUGACUAGAGAUGUACAACUCGAUAUCAUCUAGAAUUAGCUAUAAAAGAACACUGAUUUUACACGUUAUACAGCAAGUUCAUCUUAUUUGUCUGUGGUAGACACUUGAACAUGUGAUCGGCUUCAAUAGAUAGACUAGAAUUGGACUGUUUGAUAUCAUAUAGAUCUAAAUACACUCAGUAAAUAAAAUUUAAUAAAGGAAGUGCUUGUUAUGCUACAUAAUAAUGAACUGGUUUCAAUAGAUAUACUAGAAAUGGACUAUUUGAUAUCAACUUACAUAGGCCACACCGUCAUAGUAUGGAUUUUACACACUAGUAACUUGUUAUAUGCAAAUUCUUGAUUAUAGUAGUCCUGCUAAUGAUAUAGAUGUUUCUGUUAUCGAUCCUUCUCAAUACGAGGUACAUGGACUGUUUUGCCCUGUAAGAGUGCAUGCACCGUAAACUAUGGGCAGGGUGGCAGUUAGUGGAUGUGAAGUCUUUUGGUUUGCCGUUUUAUAUGGGGGAUAUAGUCUGUCAGGAUCUCUUGGUAAUGAUGGUCUAGAAAAUAGAGUGGGGACAUGGUAGUGAUGAGUUUACAGGUUUGGUUGCGGCGUUGUGCUCAUUCAAGGAAGUAGCAACAAAGAGGAAACAGAUCUUACUGAAUGGAGAUUCAGUUACAUGUGCGGGUGGCAGUGGUGUACUGGUGCAGAUGAUGGCUUCGUCUGAGUAUGCUAUUGGAGUCAAACUGGAGAUGGAUGAAGUUUUACAUUUGCCUAUAUGAAACCACUCAAGUCAAUUGGCUCAUGUAGGUAUCACAGUGUGUCGAGACUCGAGAGCAUCAAUGGUGUCAAGAAAGGAAAAUGGAAAGCCAUUCUCAGCUUUUACCGUCUCAUUAUUAAAGGUUUACCUUUCUUUUACCUUUCUAACCAUUACAAUACCCCCAUUUCAAAUACCAACUAUGUAGCAUAAAUACCAAAAUUUAAGUUUUACGUGUAAUAUAAGUUGACCUGAAUGUCAAUUAUAAUUCUUGUAUAUGUUUAAUAGAGAAAUGAAAUGCGGCAGAGUUCCCAUGUGAAACUUUCUAGAA